GGAGGCAGGAGUGUGGCAGGGGGGCGCCCGCCUGGCCUGGCUGCGGCUGCCCCACGCCAAGGUCAACGACGGCGACUGGCACCACGUGCAGCUGGAGCUGCGGGGGGCCCCCGGCCGCCCCCCGCCCGCCGCCCUGCUCCUCCUGGCCCUCGACUACGGCCGCCACCAGGUGCCCGCGGCGGGCAGGGCUGGCGCGGGGGAAACCGAGGCACCACCAGCUCGGGGGGGGGGACGCCCUGCUGUCCCCGAGCGGGCGGCUCAGGGGCGCUGUGCCCGCAGGCGGUGGCCGACGUGGCCGGCGAGCUGCAGGGGCUGCGGCUGCGGACGCUGAGCGUGGGCGGCCUGGCGGGGGACRACGGCGAGGUGCAGCAGGGCUUCCGCGGCUGCCUCCAGGUACCGGCGCGCGGCGGGGGUGCGGAUGUGCCGGCACGGGGACGUGGGCAUGGGCGCGGGGACAUGGGUUUGUGCAUAGGGCAUGGGCACAGGGACAUGGGUGCAGGGACACAGGGACAUGGGUAAGUACAUAGGGCAUGGGCACAGGGACAUGGGGACAUGGGUAUGUGCAUAGGGCAUGGGCACAGGGACAUGGGUGCAGGGACACGGGGACAUGGGUAUGGGCACAGGGACAUGGGCACAGGAACAUGGAGACAUGGGUAUGGGCACAGGCACAUAGGUAUGGGGGCAUGGGCACAGGGCAUGGGCACAGGGACACGGGUGCAGGGACAUGGGGACAUGGGUAUGGGCACAGGGACAUGGGCACAGGGGUAUGGAGACAUGGGCAGAUGGGCAAGAGCACGUGGGGUCACGGGCAUGGGGUCAUGGCGAUACGGUCACAGGGCACAGUUAUGGGGCAUGGGGACAUGGGUAUGGGCAUAGGGCAUGGACACAUGGUCAYCUGGGUGAGGGGACAGGGGCGCAGGGACUUGGGGGCAUGGACACAAGGGCGUGGAGACAUGGGCAUACGGGCAAGAGCAGAUGGGGACGUAGGUGUGGGGACAUGGGCAUGGGCAUGGGCCAUGGGACAUACGGGCAAGAGGACCCGAGGGCAUAAACUUGUGGCCGGGGAGGACGGGGCCGGGCGGGAGGGCGGCGGUGGCGGUGGCGGUGACAGGCGCCCCGUGGCAGGGCGUGCGCGUGGGCGAGACGGCGGCCAGCGCGGUGGCGCUGAACGUCGACCAGGCGGCGCGGGUGAACGUGGAGCGGGGCUGCGCCGUGCCCGACCCCUGCGACUCCAGCCCCUGCCCGGGCAACAGCUACUGCAGUGA
Molecule: long non-coding RNA, 1265 nt
Filed under: Apteryx haastii (Great spotted kiwi)
Lineage: Eukaryota; Metazoa; Chordata; Aves; Apterygiformes; Apterygidae
Description: lncRNA (ENSAHAG00000017357.1)
Source: RNAcentral